Molecule: non-coding RNA, 209 nt
Filed under: Exiguobacterium artemiae
Lineage: Bacteria; Bacillati; Bacillota; Bacilli; Caryophanales
Description: Exiguobacterium sibiricum T-box sequence
Rfam family: T-box leader
About the family: Uncharged tRNA acts as the effector for transcription antitermination of genes in the T-box leader family. T-boxes are found upstream of many aminoacyl-tRNA synthetase genes and some amino acid biosynthetic genes usually in Gram-positive bacteria. The anticodon of a specific tRNA base pairs to a specifier sequence within the T-box motif, and the NCCA acceptor tail of the tRNA base pairs to a conserved bulge in the T-box antiterminator hairpin.
Source: RNAcentral
AAUGAUGUCAUGAACGGACCAAGUAGAAGCAUUUAUUCUGUUAAGAGAGCUAGUGGGUGGUGCGAACUAGUCAGAAGGAUACUUUGAAUCGAGCCGGAUCACACACCUUGCGAACAAGGUGCGGGUACGCCCGUUAUCGCGUCUUUAGAGUUGGCUGAUCUGAUCAGCAAUGAGGGUGGCAACGCGGAUCCAGGUGAUUCGUCCCUCUU